UGGGGUGUAGCCAAGCGGUAAGGCAGCAGACUCUGAAUCUGCCAUUUCCCUGGUUCGAAUCCAGGUACCCCAGCCA
RNAcentral lists this transfer RNA (76 nucleotides) under Thomasclavelia spiroformis. RNAcentral's name for it is "[Clostridium] spiroforme (human gut metagenome) tRNA-Gln". It matches the Rfam family "tRNA". From Rfam's summary of the family: Transfer RNA (tRNA) molecules are approximately 80 nucleotides in length. Their secondary structure includes four short double-helical elements and three loops (D, anti-codon, and T loops). Further hydrogen bonds mediate the characteristic L-shaped molecular structure. tRNAs have two regions of fundamental functional importance: the anti-codon, which is responsible for specific mRNA codon recognition, and the 3' end, to which the tRNAs corresponding amino acid is attached (by aminoacyl-tRNA synthetases). tRNAs cope with the degeneracy of the genetic code in two manners: having more than one tRNA (with a specific anti-codon) for a particular amino acid; and 'wobble' base-pairing, i.e. permitting non-standard base-pairing at the 3rd anti-codon position. Lineage: Bacteria; Bacillati; Bacillota; Erysipelotrichia; Erysipelotrichales; Coprobacillaceae. The record is from RNAcentral. RNAcentral also lists the same sequence under 4 other names.